CCUACGGGAGGCAGCAGUGGGGAAUAUUGCACAAUGGGGGAAACCCUGAUGCAGCAACGCCGCGUGAGUGAGGAAGUAUUUCGGUAUGUAAAGCUCUAUCAGCAGGGAAGAAAAAAGAAGUAACCGGAAAAAGAUGCCCGGGCUAACUACGUGCCGGCAGCCGAGGUAAUAGGUAGGGGGCAAGCGUUAUCCGGAUUUACUGGGUGUAAAGGGAGGGUAGACGGAAAGGCAAGUCAGAAGUGAAAACCCAAGGAUCAACCAUGGGACUGCUUUUGAAACUGUCGAACUAGAGUACGGGAGAGGUAAGAGGAAUUACUAGUGUAGCGGUGAAAUGCGUAGAUAUUAGGAGGAACACCAGUGGCGAAGGCGUCUUACUGGACCGAAACUGACGUUGAGGCUCGAAAGCGUGGGGAGCAAACAGGAUUAGAUACCCCAGUAGUC
Molecule: ribosomal RNA, 441 nt
Filed under: uncultured bacterium
Lineage: Bacteria
Description: partial 16S ribosomal RNA
Rfam family: Bacterial small subunit ribosomal RNA
Source: RNAcentral